Molecule: ribosomal RNA, 253 nt
Filed under: uncultured bacterium
Lineage: Bacteria
Description: partial 16S ribosomal RNA
Rfam family: Bacterial small subunit ribosomal RNA
Source: RNAcentral
UACGAAGGGAGCUAGCGUUGUUCGGAAUCACUGGGCGUAAAGCGCACGUAGGCGGACGUGUCAGUCAGGGGUGAAAUCCCGGAGCUCAACUUCGGAACUGCCUUUGAUACAGCACGUCUUGAGUACGGAAGAGGUAUGUGGAACUCCGAGUGUAGAGGUGAAAUUCGUAGAUAUCGGGAGGAACACCGGUGGCGAAGGCGGCGAUCUGGGUCGAUACUGACGCUGAGGUGCGAAAGCGUGGGUAGCAAACAGG